This 120-nucleotide ribosomal RNA is filed under the name Jaculus jaculus (lesser Egyptian jerboa). The record is from RNAcentral. Lineage: Eukaryota; Metazoa; Chordata; Mammalia; Rodentia; Dipodidae.
GUCUAUGGCCACACCACCCUGAAUGUGCUGGGUCUCCUCUGAUCUCAGAAGCUAAGCAGGGUUGGGCCUGGUUAGUUCUUGGAUGGGAGAAAAUUAAUUAGGAAACACUGGGCUUAAACA